This 181-nucleotide non-coding RNA is filed under the name Lachnospiraceae bacterium. Its description in RNAcentral is "6S RNA". It matches the Rfam family "6S / SsrS RNA". Rfam says of the family: E. coli 6S RNA was the first non coding RNA to be sequenced, but its function was unknown until recently. It consists of 184 nucleotides that fold into an extended hairpin structure with a large single-stranded internal bulge. Lineage: Bacteria; Bacillati; Bacillota; Clostridia; Lachnospirales; Lachnospiraceae. The record is from RNAcentral.
ACCAACCUGGAAUGUUUGAUAACUCUUGUAAUUUUGAACCUACAUUUUGUUCUAAGGGAUUCCUAUAUUGGCACGUCUGAUGUCACGCUCACCCCUUAAGGCGAAGACUGAUGCGGGUCUGCGGUUACCCACCUAGCAUAGCUAGGAGUCAAAAUACGAGAGCCGGCAUUUCGGGUUAAAA